UGGGGAAUUUUGGACAAUGGGGGCAACCCUGAUCCAGCAAUGCCGCGUGUGUGAAGAAGGCCUUCGGGUUGUAAAGCACUUUUGUCCGGAAAGAAAACGUCGUGGUUAAUACCCGUGGCGGCUGACGGUACCGGAAGAAUAAGCACCGGCUAACUACGUGCCAGCAGCCGCGGUAAUACGUAGGGUGCAAGCGUUAAUCGGAAUUACUGGGCGUAAAGCGUGCGCAGGCGGUCCGCUAAGACAGAUGUGAAAUCCCCGGGCUUAACCUGGGAACUGCAUUUGUGACUGGCGGGCUAGAGUAUGGCAGAGGGGGGUAGAAUUCCACGUGUAGCAGUGAAAUGCGUAGAGAUGUGGAGGAAUACCGAUGGCGAAGGCAGCCCCCUGGGCCAAUACUGACGCUCAUGCACGAAAGCGUGGGGGAGCAAACAGGAUUAGAUACCCUGGUAGUCCACGCCCUAAACGAUGUCAACUAGUUGUCGGGUCUUCAUUGACUUGGUAACGUAGCUAACGCGUGAAGUUGACCGCCUGGGGAGUACGGUCGCAAGAUUAAAACUCAAAGGAAUUGACGGGGUCAUAGCUGUUUCCUG
This 587-nucleotide ribosomal RNA is filed under the name uncultured bacterium. Its description in RNAcentral is "partial 16S ribosomal RNA". It matches the Rfam family "Bacterial small subunit ribosomal RNA", at positions 355 to 1376 of the family's 1533-position model. The record is from RNAcentral.